GCAGAGACCAGUUGUUUCCGGGAACAAUAUUGUGCAACCACCCAGAUUUCGAGCAAGUGAUAGGGAUUCGGGAAGCAGUGAUUCUGGUCGAGGGGGGUAUCAACCUCAGCCACCGCAGCAUCAGGAGCUUGUGAGCCAGUACAGGACCGCCCUUGCGGAGCUGACUUUCAAUUCCAAACCAAUCAUCACGAAUUUGACCAUAAUCGCGGGUGAAAAU
This 217-nucleotide unclassified non-coding RNA is filed under the name Hevea brasiliensis (rubber tree). Lineage: Eukaryota; Viridiplantae; Streptophyta; Magnoliopsida; Malpighiales; Euphorbiaceae. The record is from RNAcentral.